UACAGAGGGUGCGAGCGUUAAUCGGAAUUAUUGGGCGUAAAGAGCGUGUAGGCGGUCCGGUAAGUCAGCUGUGAAAGUCAAGGGCUCAACCCUUGAAAGCCGGUUGAUACUGUCGGGCUAGAGUCCGGAAGAGGCGAGUGGAAUUCCCGGUGUAGCGGUGAAAUGCGCAGAUAUCGGGAGGAACACCAAUGGCGAAGGCAGCUCGCUGGGACGGUACUGACGCUGAGACGCGAAAGCGUGGGGAGCAAACAGG
Molecule: ribosomal RNA, 253 nt
Filed under: uncultured bacterium
Lineage: Bacteria
Description: partial 16S ribosomal RNA
Rfam family: Bacterial small subunit ribosomal RNA
Source: RNAcentral